Molecule: long non-coding RNA, 1966 nt
Organism: Coturnix japonica (Japanese quail)
Lineage: Eukaryota; Metazoa; Chordata; Aves; Galliformes; Phasianidae
Source: Ensembl
AUACAUCAGCACAAGCUAUUGCAUUGCUUUGCUCAACUGAAAAGAAGACCUGAAGUUCUUCUGGGAUUAGCAGAGCCAGUGAAAUUUCAUUUCACCUUAACUUGUGGAACCCAAGUGGAUCCUGUGAUGUCUGAUGAAUAAGAUUUCUGAGUACUUCAUCCAUUCUGAGACAACAUGGCCUUGGGAGAUCACCAAAGGGACUUACAGAUUGUAAUAAUGUGGUUUUAGUGCAUUAGAAACUAAAAUAAAUCAGUGCUCUAUGCUCCCAUUAGAACCAAACUGGGAAGCUUUCAUCACCAAAUGACACCUACCCAACUCCACCGUCUUCCCACGACAGUUGAGGGCAGUGGCCAAGUGCAAGGAAAUUCCAGGACUGCUCGGAGGCGUAUCUCAGAGAGCUCAUGUUUUAACAGGCUGCCCUUGAGAUAAUGACUCCAGGAAGCACAACUGGUGUCCUGGAAAGGCUUCUCCACUCCAAAACCUGCUUGCAGUCCUACUGUGGAUCCCACUGUGAAGGCAUUGCAACAUUGGUGUUGCUUUAUCCCACUGAAAUUCAGAGAAGCUGUGGGUGCCCCAUCCCUGGAGGUAUUCAAGGCCAGGUGGGAUGGGGCCCUGGGCAGCCUAAUCUAGUGACUGAUUUAGUAGUUGGCAUCCCUGUCAAAUGGCAGGGGGUUGGAACUAGAUGAUCUUUGAGGUCCCUUCCAAUCCAAGCCAUUCCAUGAUCCUGUGAAGUCAUUGUUAUGUUCAUGCAGCCUCCAGAGCAGGGAAGAGUGGGCCUUGGGGACAAAAUAAGGACUCUUCUUGCUUAGGGAUGCUGAAAACUGGGAUGAAUGCUGAAGGAGAGAGUAGAGCGGAGCCCUGUAUGCAGACUGUUCCAAAGUCAGACCCUAUAACUUGCUAUGGGAUGCUACAGAAACCCCUGUGAUUAGUGGCCAGGGGACAGGAGUGCAAGAGGUGGGGUGGAACAUUGCUUCUGCUUGCUCCAUCAGACAAACUCCCAUUGGAAUGUAAAUGUUUGGAAAGUCUCAGCAGCUGAGCAUCUUCUCAGGACAUCUCAGUAUCUCGAAACCUCUGUGUUAUUUGAGCCUGGGCUAUUUUUGAACCAGUUGGGCUGUCUGAGUUAAUUCCAAGCUUGCACAAGCAGCUGUCGUGGGAAAACAGAGAGGUUGAGAUGAAAGACCCGAGGCUGUGGCUGCCUCAUUGCUGCUGCUGCUGGGAACAGCUCUGUGCCAUCGCAGCCUCUUCAGCUCCCACCACUCCCAGCCCUUCCACAAACCUCCAGACAAAGCUCCUUUAUUGCAAGGCCAGAGCAGGGAGGGGAAACACAGGGCCGUGAAAGCUGCAGCUAUAUUAAGCCAUGGAAAACCACAAGAAUAAGUGCCUGUAAUCCCAGCCACACUGAACCUGUCUGCUGACUUCCUCUCCAAACCCAAUCUCAAACCUGACCCAGGUGGGAAAAUGCCUGUGGUUGUGACCAUCCCCCUCUGAAAACACAAAGCCAGGCAUUUAUCUGAGCGGUUGAUUGCAAAGCUCUGCACUGCAAUUUGCUCCGCUCUGCAAAAUAACAAAGCCAAGACGCUGCAGGUAACAGCCAGGCCAAGAAGUCUGCGAGUUUCAUUCCCUACAAGUGAGUUUUGGCACAGUAGCUACUUCACACCCAAUUAAUUACUUCAGCACCAGAUUAUACUUGCAGGCUCCAAUAGGAGUGAUAAUAGGAACCAAUUAAAUUAAUUUAUAUUUACUUUGUAAGCAUAUUUUCCUUUGGUAAAUCUUUGCUUUAAUUUGACAGAUUGGACUCCAGUAUUUUGUUUUUGUUACGAGAUAUGGUCCUAAAUCCAGGGGAACAAAUCCAAACCUGUAAAGCCAAGAAGUCUUUCCCUUUCAGGUUUAAAAACAUGUAGGACAGGGAUUUAAAAAAAAAAAAAAAAAAAAAAAAAAGAAGUAAUAAAAUGUAUGCACGUGCCCA